AUGGGGUUAAACGGCCGCGACGAGCACCACUCACCGUCCUCGGCCAAGUCCCCCCGCGGCGGCGGCGGAGGCGAGCACAACUCCCCGCCAAUCAGCUGCCCACGUGGCGGCGCCGUGUCGUCCUUCCUGCUUGCGGCCGCGUUGCUCACUUUCUCCUUGUCCAUCGGCAUCACGGCCACGCUCGCCGUCACGUUCUCCACGUCGUUGUCGUUGUGCCCCAUGCAGGCCUUGUUCUUCCCGGCCACCAGCGCUAGGUUCGUCCAGCCGGAGUCGGACGUCCGGCCCCCGGGCGCUGACGUGCCGCGGCUUGCCUACCUCAUCUCUGGGUCCAGAGGUGACCUGGACCGGCUGUGGCGGGUGCUGCACGCGCUCUACCACCCGCGAAACCUGUACGUGGUGCACCUGGACCUGAAAUCCCCGGUGGAGGACCGACUGGAGCUGGCGACGCGGGUGGGAAACAACACUGUUUUCCAGCGCAUCGGCAACGUCGAGGUGAUCCGGCGCGCCAACAUGGUGACUUACCGCGGGCCGACGAUGGUCGCCCACACCCUGCAUGCCUGCGCCGUGCUCCUCCGCCGCAGCCGCGACUGGGACUGGUUCAUCAACCUCUCUGCCUCAGACUACCCGCUCAUGACCCAGGACGAUAUCCUCCAUGUAUUCUCCACGUUGCCGAGGAACGUCAGCUUCAUGGAGCAUACCAGCAACCUGGGCCAGAAGGCGGAGGGCCGGGCGAAGCCUCUGAUCGUGGACCCGGGGCUGUACAUGUCGGCUAAGAAGGAAGUCUUCAACGUGUGGCCAGCGCGGCAGCUGCCGACGGCGUUCAAGCUGUACACGGGGUCGGCGUGGGUGGUGCUGUCGCGGGACUUCGUCGAAUACGUGGUGUGGGGGUGGGAUAACCUGCCGCGGACGCUUCUCAUGUACUACGCCAACUUCGUCUCCUCCCCGGAGGGCUACUUCCAGACGGUGCUCUGCAACGCGCCCAGCUUCGUGCGCACCGUCGCCAACCACGACCUGCACCACAUCCAGUGGGACGUCCCGGCGAGGCAGCACCCGCGGGCGCUCGGGCUCCCCGACAGGGACGGCAUGGUGGGCAGCGGCACGCCCUUCGCACGCAAGUUCGAGCGCGACGACCCUGUGCUUGAUGUCAUAGACGCCGACCUUCUGCUCGGCCGUGGGAGGAACGGCACGGCGGCCGGGAUGUUUGUGCCCGGCGGCUGGUGCGGCCAACACCGGGACUGCGGUGCCGCCCGCGCCAAUGUCGACGACUGGGUGCUCAGCCCUGGGCCCGGUGCCGAGAGGCUGCGGAGGCUCAUGGACAGGAUCGUCAGGUCCCAGGCCUUCGACGGCAGCCAGUGCAAAUAG
RNAcentral lists this ribosomal RNA (1362 nucleotides) under Triticum aestivum (bread wheat). RNAcentral's name for it is "partial small subunit ribosomal RNA". Lineage: Eukaryota; Viridiplantae; Streptophyta; Magnoliopsida; Poales; Poaceae. The record is from RNAcentral.